Molecule: long non-coding RNA, 1233 nt
Organism: Bos taurus (domestic cattle)
Lineage: Eukaryota; Metazoa; Chordata; Mammalia; Artiodactyla; Bovidae
Source: Ensembl
AGCUCGCCCCGCCCCCCAAGCCUCCCCCCACUUAACCCCCGUCCCUGUUGCGGGUGGCCCCCAUAGCACACAGUUCUUGGGUGAGGCAGCCAGGCGGACCUGUGACUUCAGGAGGUGGCACAGAGGACUCAGCUGAUCGUCCAACUCUCGACGGCUCCCCCGACCUGCUGGCCUCUCCUGGAGAUGCUGACUUCCUAUCUGCUCUAAGAGAGGGCCAAGCAAACCACCACUGCCAAAGAAUACCUUCAGGCAGAGAAACACUGGAAGCUGUUGGCAUGUAUGGCAACUGUCUACAGGUGACUUUAACAACAUCUGAGCUUUCUUUCAAGUGGAAUGCCCUUGGUGAGAAGCAUUUGGGCCAAUAUGUAAACAGUGAAUUUUGUUCCACACAUGCCAGCUCUUCUGGAGAAGAUCCGUACCUGGACAGGUUUCAGGGGCAAAAGCCUACUGUCUUGGCUUCGAACCAGGAAGCCUCCCUGCUUGGAGAGCAUCAGAGGCCUUCAGCUGCUGUCAUACCCAUGAUGAGGGUGCUCUGAAGAAGCCACAAGCCCACCCCAAACCCAGGCCUCUUGGCUCCAGGCCAGGUGGUUCCAGCUACUCCACCACCUCCACCUGGAAUCCCAGCAAGAGAUCUUAUUUCUGAGGCAUUGAAUGCCAAUAAACAAUAAAUGCCCAACUGGACACAGGGCAAUGAUACUGAGAGGCCAGAGAACUUUUAUCAAAGAUGAGAGCUUGGUCUCAACUGCAUUUUUCCGGAAUCCCAAGGUACUGGGGAGGUCACCUAACGUCCCCCACAGCCUCUCCACUAGCAGAAGGGAAGAAUGAAAGAUGCGAACGAGAACUCCCGGGGUCUCCAUGCCAUGCCUCACCUCCUCACUAAGAAAGAGAACUUGGCCUUGGGCAGGGGGCCUGGGAACCCGGGCGUUUCUCUGGGAGCAGCUCUGCGGUAAGACGCCACCACACGCCUUCUGGGACACCUAAAAUUAAAAAGACCGACCAUGCCAAGUGUUUGUGAAGAUGCGGAAGAACUUGAACUCAUACACUGCUGUUGGGAAUGUAAAACGGUACGACGGCUUUGGAAAACAAUUUGUCAUUUCUUGAAAAAUUAAACAAACAUCUACCAUAUGACUAGCCAUUCCACUCCUAGGUAUUUACCCAAGAGGAUGAAAGCAUCCAACACUCGUACAUGAAUAUUCAUAGCAGCUCUAUUUGUAAUCGCCCCAAACUGGAAAC